This 162-nucleotide unclassified non-coding RNA is filed under the name uncultured Ascomycota. RNAcentral describes it as "sequence contains ITS2". The record is from RNAcentral. Lineage: Eukaryota; Fungi; Ascomycota.
GCACAACUCAAGCAUAGCUUGGUGAUGGGCGCCUGUCCCCCGUGCUUUGCGGCGGGACUCGCCUGAAAAGCAUCGGCGUCCGGCGGCUGGUCUUGCGCGUAGCAGAUUGUUCGCACAAGGGCCGGCCUGCAGGGCUGCCGCAUACGUCAAUUGCAUCUCGUA